AGCGAACGCUGGCGGCAGGCCUAACACAUGCGAGUCGAACGAAACCACCGUGGUUAGUGGCGGUCGGGGGAGUCACAUGGGGGAAGGUGCAUUUAGGUAUGGAAAACUUCAGUUUCACUUGUGCUAACGCAGAAUGAGCUAUUCGGGGGCAGGAUUUAUCGCCCUUAGGGCGGCCGGCGACCGAUUAGCCAGUUGGUUGAGGAAAUGCCUCACCAAGGCUAGGUUCUGUAGCUGGUCAGAGAGGAUGAUCAGCCACAUUGGGACUGAGACACGGCCCAAACUCCUACGGGAGGCAGCAGUGGGGAAUCUUGCGCAAUGGGCGAAAGCCUGACGCAGCCAUGGCGCGUGAAUGAUGAAGGUGUGAGGAAAGUGAAAUUCUUUCACCGGGGACGAUAAUGACGGUACCCGGAGAAGAAGCCCCGGCUAACUUCGUG
This 434-nucleotide ribosomal RNA is filed under the name uncultured bacterium. RNAcentral describes it as "partial 16S ribosomal RNA". It matches the Rfam family "Bacterial small subunit ribosomal RNA", at positions 29 to 507 of the family's 1533-position model. The record is from RNAcentral.